UGGCGAACGGGUGAGUAACACGUGAAUAACCUACCUUGAUGAGGGGGACAACCAUUCGAAAGAGUGGCUAAUACCCCAUAAGCUCCUACGGGAGGAAAGCUGGCUUUGCUGGCGCUUCAGGAGGGGUUCACGUACUAUUAGCUAGUUGGUGGGGUAAUGGCCUACCAAGGCUAUGAUGGUUAGCCGGCCUGAGAGGGUGUCCGGCCACACUGGGACUGAGACACUGCCCAGACUCCUACGGGAGGCUGCAGUCGAGAAUCUUCCACUAAUGCGCGAAAGCGUGAUGGAGCAAUUCCGUGUGUAGGAUGAAGGCCUUAGGGUUGUAAACUACUGUUGGAAGGGCGUAAUCCCCGGGAGUUAAUACCUCUCCGGGUUGAACUCCCUUCGGAGGAAGUAGCGGCUAAAUUCGUGCCAGCAGCCGCGGUAAUACGAAUGCUGCAAGCGUAGUUCGGAAUCACUGGGCAUAAAGGGCACGUAGGCGGCUAGUUAAGUCAGCUGUGAAAUCCCUCGGCUUAACCGAGGAACUGCAGCUGAUACUGACAAGCUUGAGUUCGGGAGGGGAGAGCGGAAUUCCUGGUGGAGCGGUGAUAUGCAUAGAGAUCAGGAGGAACGCCGGUGGCGAAAGCGGCUCUCUGGACCGAAACUGACGCUGAGGUGCGAAAGCUAGGGGAGCGAACAGGAUUAGAUACCCGGGUAGUCCUAGCCGUAAACGAUGGGUACUAA
Molecule: ribosomal RNA, 723 nt
Filed under: uncultured Planctomycetota bacterium
Lineage: Bacteria; Pseudomonadati; Planctomycetota
Description: bacterial SSU rRNA
Rfam family: Bacterial small subunit ribosomal RNA
Source: RNAcentral